Molecule: ribosomal RNA, 253 nt
Filed under: uncultured bacterium
Lineage: Bacteria
Description: partial 16S ribosomal RNA
Rfam family: Bacterial small subunit ribosomal RNA
Source: RNAcentral
UACGAGGGGUCCUAGCGUUGUUCGGAAUCAUUGGGCGUAAAGCGGGUGUAGGCGGCUCGAUCAGUCAGAUGUGAAAUCCCUGGGCUCAACCCAGGACGUGCAUUUGAUACUGUCGAGCUUGAGUAUUGGAUAGGUUCGUAGAAUUUCUGGUGUAGCGGUGAAAUGCGUAGAUAUCAGAAGGAAUAUCGGUGGCGAAGGCAGCCAUCUGGCCUAAUACUGACGCUGAGGUACGAAAGCAUGGGGAGCAAACAGG